CCCCGUCACAUCACGAAAGUGGAUUGUACUAGAAGUCUGCGCGCUAACCCGCAAGGGAGGCAGCGGCCCAAGGUAUGAUUCAUGAUUGGGGUG
RNAcentral lists this ribosomal RNA (93 nucleotides) under uncultured bacterium. RNAcentral describes it as "partial 16S ribosomal RNA". The record is from RNAcentral.